UCUCGAGCGGAGACAGCCUGGGUCGUCCCGCGGGUCAAUGGCCACGCCUCCUCUCGGCCGGGAGGACGGCGUGGGGCGUGGUUUGGGCAGGACUCUGCGGUAACGGGCGUCGGGCUCGACCAACGAAUGCACAGGCAUACCUCAGAAAUAUUGCAAGUUUGGUUCUAGACUAUGGCGAUAAAUCAUCACAGCAUCUUUACCAGGAGUAGAUCUCAAGAAACCACUUUCUUUGCUCAUCCACAAAAGAAACUCCUCAUAUGUUAAGUUUUAUCAUGAGAUUGCUGCAGUUCUGUCACAUCCUCAAGCUACACUUCUAGUUUUUCGAGAAUUACCAAAAUGUGACACAGAAACACGAAGUAAGCAAAUGCUACUGGAAAAAUGGUACCAUAAGACUUGUUUGAUACGGUUUUGCCAUAAACCUUCAACUUGUAAAAAAUGCAGUUAUCUGUGAAGCUCUAUAAAGUGAGGUGAAAUUAAACAAGGUAUGUCUGUAUAUGAAAGCUGAUUUUUGUAUGUUAAUUUUAAAUCCUGCUCCUUCACUGAAUCUUUUCACUGUCUGAGUUAGUUUUAUUACUGAUUUUCUGGGGUUCAGGUAUACUAUGAUCUGCAAAUAGUUACUGUUUCACUUCUUCAUUACUCAUUCUUAUGCCUCUUAUUGAUAUCUCUUAUCUAAUUGCCUUGGCUAAUUUACCUCUGAUACACUGCUGAACAGUAGGGGAGACAGUGGGGUUGCUGCCUUGUUCCUCAUCUUAAUGGAUAUGCCUGUAGUGUUUCCUCAUUUAAAUAUGAUACUAGUUUUAACACUAAGAUAUAUACUUUAUCAAGAUAAAAAAUAUUCAAUUACUAUUUUCUUGAGUGUCUUUUUCA
Camelus dromedarius (Arabian camel) is the source of this 867-nucleotide long non-coding RNA. RefSeq lists it as uncharacterized. The transcript has 3 exons. NCBI's taxonomy places the organism in Eukaryota, Metazoa, Chordata, Mammalia, Artiodactyla, Camelidae. The record is from RefSeq and is a predicted model, not a curated record.